Molecule: ribosomal RNA, 115 nt
Filed under: uncultured bacterium
Lineage: Bacteria
Description: partial 16S ribosomal RNA
Rfam family: Bacterial small subunit ribosomal RNA
Source: RNAcentral
CGGUGAAUACGUUCCCGGACCUUGUACACACCGCCCGUCAAGCCAUGGAAGCUGGGUGUACCUAAAGUCGAUAACCGCGAAGGAGUCGCCUAGGGUAAAACUAGUAACUGGGGCU